RNAcentral lists this ribosomal RNA (447 nucleotides) under uncultured bacterium. RNAcentral describes it as "partial 16S ribosomal RNA". It matches the Rfam family "Bacterial small subunit ribosomal RNA", at positions 29 to 523 of the family's 1533-position model. The record is from RNAcentral.
AACGAACGCUGGCGGCAGGCUUAACACAUGCAAGUCGAGCGCCCCGCAAGGGGAGCGGCAGACGGGUGAGUAACGCGUGGGAAUCUACCCAUCCCUACGGAACAACUCCGGGAAACUGGAGCUAAUACCGUAUACGCCCUACGGGGGAAAGAUUUAUCGGGGAUGGAUGAGCCCGCGUUUGAUUAGCUAGUUGGUGGGGUAAAGGCCUACCAAGGCGACGAUCCAUAGCUGGUCUGAGAGGAUGAUCAGCCACAUUGGGACUGAGACACGGCCCAAACUCCUACGGGAGGCAGCAGUGGGGAAUAUUGGACAAUGGGCGCAAGCCUGAUCCAGCCAUGCCGCGUGAGUGAUGAAGGCCUUAGGGUUGUAAAGCUCUUUCACCGAUGAAGAUAAUGACGGUAGUCGGAGAAGAAGCCCCGGCUAACUUCGUGCCAGCCGCCGCAGUAA